ACUGCUAACUGCAUAGAGGUUGUUGGAGAGAAUCUCAACGUAGGAACAUGCGUUCCUUAUUUUAUACAACGUGUGACGUAAUACACAAGUUCUUCAUAAACAAGAACACGUUACGUUACAUUUGGCGCGCUAUACUGAAACUAAGUAUAAACAAAUACAAAAUGAAUAAUUACACAUAUAAAUAGAGUCGAUAUAUAGAUUUAAAGAAGUCAGCAUAUAAUAUAAGGUCAAAGAAAGCUAUUUCUUCUGUAAAUUACGAAUCAGAACACAACAACGGACAUCUGCGUGUAUCAAGUGUGGAACGAAGAUCACAGUAAAAUAUCAGCUUUCAAAUCACCGGGG
RNAcentral lists this long non-coding RNA (342 nucleotides) under Mytilus galloprovincialis (Mediterranean mussel). Lineage: Eukaryota; Metazoa; Mollusca; Bivalvia; Mytilida; Mytilidae. The record is from RNAcentral.